Non-coding RNA from Chytridium lagenaria, 94 nucleotides. The record is from the annotation of a GenBank genome assembly. Lineage: Eukaryota; Fungi; Chytridiomycota; Chytridiomycetes; Chytridiales; Chytridiaceae.
UCUCCUGUAGCUCAGCUGGUAGAGCAUUGAUCUUAUGUGGGUACCGCGCCUUCAUGCCAGUCAAUGGUCGUCGGUUCGAUCCCGACCAGGAGAA